GACGAACGCUGGCGGCGUGCUUAACACAUGCAAGUCGAACGGCAAGGCCCUGCUUUUGUGGGGUGCUCGAGUGGUGAACGGGUGAGUAACACGUGAGUAACCUGCCCUUGACUUUGGGAUAACUUCAGGAAACUGGGGCUAAUACCGGAUAGGAGCUCCUGCUGCAUGGUGGGGGUUGGAAAGUUUCGGCGGUUGGGGAUGGACUCGCGGCUUAUCAGCUUGUUGGUGGGGUAGUGGCUUACCAAGGCUUUGACGGGUAGCCGGCAUGAGAGGGUGACCGGCCACAUUGGGACUGAGAUACAGCCCAGACUCCUACGGGAGGCAGCAGUGGGGAAUAUUGCACAAUGGGCGGAAGCCUGAUGAAGCAACGCCGCGUGCGGGAUGACGGCCUUCGGGUUGUAAACCGCUUUCGCCUGUGACGAAGCGUGAGUGACGGUAAUGGGUAAAGAAGCACCGGCUAACUACGUG
RNAcentral lists this ribosomal RNA (468 nucleotides) under uncultured bacterium. Its description in RNAcentral is "partial 16S ribosomal RNA". It matches the Rfam family "Bacterial small subunit ribosomal RNA", at positions 28 to 507 of the family's 1533-position model. The record is from RNAcentral.